This 254-nucleotide ribosomal RNA is filed under the name uncultured bacterium. Its description in RNAcentral is "partial 16S ribosomal RNA". It matches the Rfam family "Bacterial small subunit ribosomal RNA", at positions 524 to 776 of the family's 1533-position model. The record is from RNAcentral.
UACGGGGGGAGCAAGCGUUGUUCGGAUUUACUGGGCGUAAAGGGCGGGUAGGCGGCCACCGCAAGUCAGUUGCGAAAUCUCUGGGCUUAACCCAGAAAGGUCAACUGAUACUGCGGGGCUAGAGUGCAGAAGGGGCAACUGGAAUUCUCGGUGUAGCGGUGAAAUGCGUAGAUAUCGAGAGGAACACCUGCGGCGAAGGCGGGUUGCUGGGCUGACACUGACGCUGAACUGCGAAAGCUAGGGGAGCGAACGGG